GCAUCGGUGGUUCAGUGGUAGAAUGCUCGCCUGCCACGCGGGCGGCCAUCCCGGCCGAUGCA
This 62-nucleotide transfer RNA is filed under the name Cordylochernes scorpioides. RNAcentral describes it as "tRNA-Gly". It matches the Rfam family "tRNA". From Rfam's summary of the family: Transfer RNA (tRNA) molecules are approximately 80 nucleotides in length. Their secondary structure includes four short double-helical elements and three loops (D, anti-codon, and T loops). Lineage: Eukaryota; Metazoa; Arthropoda; Arachnida; Pseudoscorpiones; Chernetidae. The record is from RNAcentral.